AAGAAAGAAUAUUCUUGACAGUGAAAGGUCUGUCUGGUAGAGAAAUUUUCACCGCUUGGAUCCGCUGAAGGACUGAGACGGAAGG
Molecule: non-coding RNA, 85 nt
Filed under: Syntrophus aciditrophicus SB
Lineage: Bacteria; Pseudomonadati; Thermodesulfobacteriota; Syntrophia; Syntrophales; Syntrophaceae
Source: RNAcentral